This 790-nucleotide ribosomal RNA is filed under the name uncultured Mycobacterium sp. RNAcentral's name for it is "bacterial SSU rRNA". It matches the Rfam family "Bacterial small subunit ribosomal RNA", at positions 562 to 1350 of the family's 1533-position model. The record is from RNAcentral. Lineage: Bacteria; Bacillati; Actinomycetota; Actinomycetes; Mycobacteriales; Mycobacteriaceae.
AAAGAGCUCGUAGGUGGUUUGUCGCGUUGUUCGUGAAAUCUCACGGCUUAACUGUGAGCGUGCGGGCGAUACGGGCAGACUUGAGUACUGCAGGGGAGACUGGAAUUCCUGGUGUAGCGGUGGAAUGCGCGGAUAUCAGGAGGAACACCGGUGGCGAAGGCGGGUCUCUGGGCAGUAACUGACGCUGAGGAGCGAAAGCGUGGGGAGCGAACAGGAUUAGAUACCCUGGUAGUCCACGCCGUAAACGGUGGGUACUAGGUGUGGGUUUCCUUCCUUGUGAUCCGUGCCGUAGCUAACGCAUUAAGUACCCCGCCUGGGGAGUACGGCCGCAAGGCUAAAACUCAAAGAAAUUGACGGGGGCCCGCACAAGCGGCGGAGCAUGUGGAUUAAUUCGAUGCAACGCGAAGAACCUUACCUGGGUUUGACAUGCACAGGACGCCGGCAGAGAUGUCGGUUCCCUUGUGGCCUGUGUGCAGGUGGUGCAUGGCUGUCGUCAGCUCGUGUCGUGAGAUGUUGGGUUAAGUCCCGCAACGAGCGCAACCCUUGUCUCAUGUUGCCAGCGGGUAAUGCCGGGGACUCGUGAGAGACUGCCGGGGUCAACUCGGAGGAAGGUGGGGAUGACGUCAAGUCAUCAUGCCCCUUAUGUCCAGGGCUUCACACAUGCUACAAUGGCCGGUACAAAGGGCUGCGAUGCCGCGAGGUUAAGCGAAUCCUUUUAAAGCCGGUCUCAGUUCGGAUCGGGGUCUGCAACUCGACCCCGUGAAGUCGGAGUCGCUAGUAAUCGCAGAUC